AGAGAUAGCUUGAGCCGGAUUUUUAGAGAGGAUAGCUGGAGGAGAGCUUGAGUAAAGGGAGGAACGCAUUCAGACUAGAGAGAGUGGAGAGCAGACCUAUUUUAAGAGGGCAUUCUUUUUAGCUUGGGGCGUGUUUCUUUGAUUUUGAGGUGAGUUUCUCUCUUACUUGGAUUCCUAUACUUCUCAUCUCUUUCCCAUUUGCUUGUUUCGCAUUUGUUUGUCGAAGUUUGGGUGUGGAUGAUAAUGGAUACAUGCUUAACUCCGUUGAUUUCUGGAUCAUGCUCUUACUUUGUUGUUUUUUAUCUCAUUGUCAUCCUUGUGGUUUAGUAUGGGGCUCGUAUGACUUUGCUUUAUGUAUGCUGUGCUAACCCAGUUUCAGGAUCCCACCUAUUUUGAGCCUCCUGAGAUGAGGCCCUAUACGUUUGAGUGUGUUGCCUGUUAUCCUACUGGUUCUAUUCUCAGCAUUCACUCUAACCUCUGUUGUUGUUUUCAUCCCUAUAUUCUCACUAUAAUGGGAAUAUUAUUUGGUCUGAGGUUUGAAUAAAAUGAGUCGAGCCAUACCUAUGGUUCUGGCUUUCCUGUUGAUAGCUUGUGGCUAAAAGAAAAAAAGGGGUUGAUGGGGAAUUACGACCAGCAGCUAGAGGCUUCUUGACCCUCUUCUUUGCCUGUAUUACAGCCAUUUGCAUCGGAGCAUCAUCAGUAUGUGGUUGUUAUUUCCACUGCAGUAAUUACAGCAAUCACCAACCUACCCUACCUAAAUACCUAUAAACCCAUUCAUUCCUCUUACAUACGAGAACCAUUGUGGUUUUCUUUUAUUAUUAUUUUCUUGCUUGGGAAUCAUCACAUGGCAAUGAAGUCAAUGGAAGUUUUUUUGUGGGCCAUCCUGGAAUGUACAUGCCCAUUUUUCUUUUGGUCUUACACGUUUUCAUUCUAACCUCUAAGUCUUACUUUAGUUUAUCUUAUUAUUAUUAUUAUUAUUAUUAUUAUUAUUAUUAUUAUUUUCUAAAUUUCACCUUCAAAUAAAUUUUUCAAAAAGUUUAGCUACUAAAUUUAAUUUUUAAAAUAUCAUUUAAAAAUAAAUCUUCAAGAAAUAAUAACAAUAAUUAUAAAUUCCGAUUUCUAAAUUCCAAUCCCCAAUUCCCAUAAUUCUAAUUUUUCACACUUAUUUAUUUAAUUAUUAUUAUUUUCUUAUCAUUAUUCCAUUUAUCUAUUUAUUUAUUUCCUUUAAAAAUCUCAAUCAUUAAAGUUCAAUUUUUCAAAAAUUUGUUUUUUUAAAUUUAAUUUUCAAUCUCAAAAAUUUCACUAUUCACUAUUCAUCCGUCCAAAUAUCGUUUUAUUAAUUAAUAACCUUAUUCCAUAUUUACCUAUUUAUUUCCCUUAAAAACCUCAAUCAUUAAAAUCUAGUUUUUCAAAAUUCCGAUUUCCAAAUUUAGCUAUAUGAGAUUUCAAUUGUCCUAUUUCCGAACUUAAGUUUCAUUUCCUAAUGUUCCAAUUACCGUAUUUACUCAAUCACUCAUUUGUUAUCAUCAUUAUUUUUAUUACCAUUUUAUUUGUUCAUUUCUAAAAAGUCUGUCUUCAAAUGAUUUUCGAGAUUUCCAAUUUUCAUAAAUCAACUUUCAUAAUUUCUACUUCUCAAUUAACUUACAGUUCUGAUCUCUUUCAAAAUUCAACUCCCAAAGUCUCAAUUUUUGCAACUUAAUCUUUCUUUAAAAUCCCGAACCCUCAAAUCGUUUUCAAAAUUCCAACCUCUUUCAAAUUCAGUUUUCUAAAAAUUCACAUUCUCACAUUCAACCUCUAAGAGUCUGAUCUUCAAAUAAACUCUAAAACUCCAAAUUUCUAGUGAUUUUCGAGAUUCCAAUUUUUCAACGAAAUUUCAAAAACCUAAUUUUCUCCCGAACAGUUUUAAUUCCACUUUGGUUUUCAAAUAAUCUUUUAUUUUCUCUCUUAAUUUUAUAUAAGCAUGAAUGUCAUUUUCAUAAUUUCAGAACAAUGGAAUUUGUGAGAUUAAUUCGUGCAAGAUCAAUCGGGCUUUGGUGGGGGCCCCACAUACGUGAUUUUAUGAUUGAUUGAUUUGUUUGUCACGCGCGAUUUAUUUAUCCUGCUCUCCGACAUGCAUGCUAUUAUUACUUAAUUGUGCACUAACCUCUCUUGUGAUAGCGCAUGGUGGCUCGUCGCCCAGGUACGCACCUAUUUUCACUCUGAUAAUUGUCCAAGCAUAUUUUGAUUCUCACGUGUGCAUGAUUUAUUCUGGGUACUCAUUGAUCUACUCGUCCACUGCCAUGAUUGUUUCAUUUUAUUAGUAGAGACCCGACUUUAGGGACUUAGAGGGGUGCUACGGUCUUUACCGUACCUUCCCGAUAAGUAACCUGACCCCCGAACCCGAUCCGGUUUUUCGUAGAUCACCUUUUCCAAAAUAAGGAGUCGCACUUAAGGUUUUCUUUCUUAUUUUGUUUACCCUUUUAAAAAACAAAAAUAAGUGGCGACUCCAAGUCAUUUUCAAAUAAUCAAUAAAAAUCAAUUUUUUUGAAAUAAAAAUCGAGCUCGCCAUUGAGUGGGAAAUGCAUUGAGCGAGCGAAAUGCGGGGUCCACAAAAUGGCGACUCCACUGGGGAUUUUUAGAGGGUCAAGCUUGAACUUAAGAUGAAGCGAACAUGGCUUUUGAUGAGUCUAUUAGUGGAUACUCACUUCUUGAUUGCACAUUGAGGGUUCUCGUGUUUUCACUUGGGACAUUGACAUGAUUGAUUGUAUUGGUCGAUUAUCUUGAUUGGAGAUUCUGACACAGUGAUUUUCUUUGUGCUUCAUUGAUAUAUUUGUUUAAGAUAUUUGACAUGAUGAUUAUGAUGAUUGAUUCGUAUUGAUAGAGGAUUCCGAGAUAGCUAUUUUCUCUGUGCUUCAUUGCCAUAUUCUUUUGAGAUGUUGACAUGCUGAUUAUAUUGAUUGAUCAUUUCGUAUUGCUUAGCGCAUUGAUCCUGAUUUUGCCAUGAUUAUUCUGAUCACUUCACAUGCAUACACUCACCAGUGUAUAUCAUUUGACUUGAUAUGUUGAUUCUCUGACUUGCAUAUUAUCUUGAUCGUCUUUUGAGCAUGAUGUUCAUAUCGCUAUUCAUCCUGAUAGUUGUAGCUUUUUGUGUGGACAUGAGUGAUAUAUCCUGUACUUUGCUUGACUGUAUGACGCGUGACUGCCUUCCUUCUGCAUGAUUGCAUGUUGCCUGUCUAUGUGGGCCGCACAUAUAUCCCCUUUCCUCCAACUCUCUUGGUUUCGGUCAUUCCUUUCAUCCCGGUUCUCACUAUUGCAAGUGUGAGACCUUCUGUGUGUUUGCUCUCUGACCGAGCCAGAGAUUAGGAGUAGGGUCUAGCGACGGGCUAUAUCGAUGUACGGGAGCAUUCUGGAGGAGAGCGACACUUUGAUGUCGAUUGGAGUCCGAUCAUUGAAGACCUGUAUAGCCCGGAGCUAGGUUUCAUGGAUAUUUGUGUGGCCAGUGUGUUUCAUAUCCUGCUUUAGCUUCUUAGGGUUUCGGAUGCACCCACACCAUCACUGUGCACGCUAGUAGACUAUUGAGUGUUGAGAGUUUGACAGGUUUCACCAUAGGAAACCCCCUGGGAUGCGAGGUAGUGCAUGUGUGGAGGUGAUGACCACCUUGCAUGGAAGCGCCUCGUUUCUUCGGAGGCGUGCAGAGGGUUGCGUACCGCCGGAGGGUAUGAUCGCUUCUGCUAGGGAUAUUUUAAAGUCCACCCUUAUCCAUUUAGAGCCACCUUGACCUUGUAGGUUGAGCCGUAGAUCCUUCGAUUAGGAUUCCCUCCCUACACGUGGGUGCAUCUGAGGGCUUUCCGUGCCCCUGUAGCCGCAGUUUUGGAUCCGAUUUUCCCUCUGUUUAGUCUCCAGUUGAGAGUGCACUGAAAUCAGGACGAGUUUGAGUACGGUCGGACCGCUCAUCUUCACUCGGAUGCUUUGCUUGUUCCUGUUCAGAUUAUCUUUUCUUCUAUACAUUCCCCAAGCCAUAUCCUUAUUCCGUUCUUCGUGCCUUGUAGGAUCGGACCUUUGUUCCUUGUCUUGAUAUACCUUUGUGGAUCAGAGCAGAGGAUGAGUACUUUCAGGAUCAGGAUUUUUAGUCUCAGUCUGGGUAUAGUUUCGUGGAUCAGAGUAGAG
This 4146-nucleotide long non-coding RNA is filed under the name Vitis vinifera (wine grape). Its description in RNAcentral is "long non-coding RNA (VVIN_LNC006234)". The record is from RNAcentral. Lineage: Eukaryota; Viridiplantae; Streptophyta; Magnoliopsida; Vitales; Vitaceae.